GAUGAACGCUGGCGGCGUGCCUAAUACAUGCAAGUCGAGCGAACAGACGAGGAGCUUGCUCCUCUGACGUUAGCGGCGGACGGGUGAGUAACACGUGGAUAACCUACCUAUAAGACUGGGAUAACUUCGGGAAACCGGAGCUAAUACCGGAUAAUAUAUUGAACCGCAUGGUUCAAUAGUGAAAGACGGUUUUGCUGUCACUUAUAGAUGGGUCCGCGCCGCAUUAGCUAGUUGGUAAGGUAACGGCUUACCAAGGCAACGAUGCGUAGCCGACCUGAGAGGGUGAUGGGCCACACGGGAACUGAGACACGGUCCAGACUCCUACGGGAGGCAGCAGUAGGGAAUCUUCCGCAAUGGGCGAAAGCCUGACGGAGCAACGCCGCGUGAGUGAUGAAGGUCUUCGGAUCGUAAAACUCUGUUAUUAGGGAAGAACAAAUGUGUAAGUAACUAUGCACGGCUUGACGGUACCUAAUCAGAAAGCCAGGGCUAACUACGUG
Molecule: ribosomal RNA, 497 nt
Filed under: uncultured bacterium
Lineage: Bacteria
Description: partial 16S ribosomal RNA
Rfam family: Bacterial small subunit ribosomal RNA
Source: RNAcentral